UGCCUCAAAAGCUCACCUGGUUAGAGCAUGGUGCUGAUAAUGCCAAGGCUGCAGGUUUGAUCCCUGUGUUGGCAG
Podarcis lilfordi (Lilford's wall lizard) is the source of this 75-nucleotide non-coding RNA. NCBI's taxonomy places the organism in Eukaryota, Metazoa, Chordata, Lepidosauria, Squamata, Lacertidae. The record is from the annotation of a GenBank genome assembly.